Molecule: small nucleolar RNA, 104 nt
Filed under: Hucho hucho (huchen)
Lineage: Eukaryota; Metazoa; Chordata; Actinopteri; Salmoniformes; Salmonidae
Source: RNAcentral
CUCCGAUGAUGAUCCCGCCAUGCUAAUACCAAUGCACCAGACUGACGGUGUGUCUCUCUCUGGGUGCAAGUGAGUUAGCCUCACCUUCUCAUACUGACUGGAUC